RNAcentral lists this ribosomal RNA (413 nucleotides) under uncultured bacterium. RNAcentral's name for it is "bacterial SSU rRNA". It matches the Rfam family "Bacterial small subunit ribosomal RNA", at positions 355 to 775 of the family's 1533-position model. The record is from RNAcentral.
UCGAGAAUCUUUCACAAUGGGGGCAACCCUGAUGGAGCGACGCCGCGUGGAGGAUAAGGUCUUCGGAUUGUAAACUCCUGUCAUGCGAGAACAAAGCCUUAUGGGUGUGAUAGUAUCGCAAGAGGAAGAGACGGCUAACUCUGUGCCAGCAGCCGCGGUAAUACAGAGGUCUCAAGCGUUGUUCGGAAUCACUGGGCGUAAAGGGUGUGUAGGCGGCGUGAAAAGUCAGAUGUGAAAUCCGGGGGCUCAACCUCCGAAUUGCAUCCGAUACUGUCAUGCUGGAGGUCUGUAGAGGAGUCUGGAAUUCUCGGUGUAGCAGUGAAAUGCGUAGAGAUCGAGAGGAACACUUGUUGCGAAAGCGAGACUCUGGGCAGAAACUGACGCUGAAACACGAAGGCCAGGGUAGCGAACGG